Molecule: non-coding RNA, 396 nt
Organism: Penaeus vannamei (Pacific white shrimp)
Lineage: Eukaryota; Metazoa; Arthropoda; Malacostraca; Decapoda; Penaeidae
Source: RefSeq, a predicted model, not a curated record
CCCGGCUGAUCCUCACGGCCGACGUCGGCGCCCACGCUCUCCGAACCAGGCCGGGCCAUAGGGCUGGCGAGCUCUAGGCAUGACCUGACCUCGCUUCGCUGCGGCCACACCCUAGAUCGGCUGCAGGUAACCAACAAGUCAUCGAACCUCUCAGGCCAUUUUCCUCGUGUCACGUGCUUGGUGACUGCAGCUGGUCUCCUUCGGGCGUCGUCCACGAACUCAGAGGGUCUUGCUUCUGCCGGACGAGAGGCCCAUUGGACGCGUGUAAGGCUUACUUAAUUUCAUUGUGAUAAAGAGUUACGGUAAUAGUAAUUCAUACUGCUUCUAUAACCCUGUCGGAUGUGUUGUAAUUUUCAAACAUUGUAAGUAGGGAUUUGUAAUAAAGGUUGUGAGGAU